ACCGCCCCCGACUCUCUCUCUCUCUCUCUCUCUCUCUCUCUCUCUCUCUCUCUCUCUCUCCUCCAGCUUUCUUUUUGUUUGAAAAGAAGCAACGCCGUCAGAUCUGGCGAUCUGUGAUCGUUACCCCUGAAAACGUCGCUCGAUGCCACUGCACCUAAACGCGUUUGCUAUGUCCGCUGCACUCGAUCGUGUUGAUGAGCAGGUAGCCAAGGACAUAUAACUGCUAGAUUCCAUUGCUGAGAAGCAACCCCAAAUCUUCUCUGAAGAAUGCAAGUAUUAUUGAAGUAAAGAGUUUGAUUUUUUUCACCGGAGUUUGAAGAUGAGAUCAUAAUGCUGGAACCCUGAAGAGAUCCCAUGGGGUACGACUGGUACUGAGUAUGUUGCAAAAAGGAGGUCCGUAGCAAAUAAUGAUGAGGGAUUGCUAUGUGUGCAGAAGACCAUGUUAUGAAUGAGCCGUUCUAAAUCCUGUUUUCCCAGACAGUUCUUCAAACUUUUUAUUCCACUUGCUAAUGUUCCUUGAUACAAAUCAUGCAGUCCCUAUAUUUCUAUAUGGAGCAGUAGAUGAGCAAGCAAGGACCCUUGAUUCAACCAGUAGAAUUGCUAGAUAGGUGAGUAUGUAUGCACUCUCCUUGUCGCUGGUGGAGUCUGAUCCAAAUGCUCCUUUUGGUUAUGGCUUGUGUUUUUUGAACUUAGCAAUGGAUGGAUUCACGAAUGCAACUCAGGAUUCCAUAACUGCAAGGUUUGUCAGUUCAUGAGUUGAUUGUUUCUCCUCUUGUUGGUGAACUUGUGCUUUCUGAAAAUAUUAUCUUUCUGAAACAGAACAUUAUUUACUUCGAUCUUGCAUCUAACUUCAAAAUUUCUUUCUCCUUUUCUU
Long non-coding RNA from Magnolia sinica, 874 nucleotides. RefSeq lists it as uncharacterized. The transcript has 3 exons. NCBI's taxonomy places the organism in Eukaryota, Viridiplantae, Streptophyta, Magnoliopsida, Magnoliales, Magnoliaceae. The record is from RefSeq and is a predicted model, not a curated record.